UUUUUUUUUUUUUUUGGUCUUUUCUGGGGAGGCUCCCUCGGCAUAUGGAGGUUGCCAGGCUAGGGGUAGAAUUGGAGCUGCAGCCACUGGCCUAUGCCAGAGCCACAGCAACAAGGGAUCCGAGCCACGUCUGCAACCUACACCACAGCUCACAGCAACGCUAGGUCCUUAACCCACUAAGCAAGGCCAGGGAUCGAACCCGCAACCUCAUGGUUCCUAGUCGGAUUCAUUAACCACUGCACCACAAUGGGAACUCCAUGACAUUUCUAUUUUUGUAAAGUCUUUGUUUUCAAGUGGAUGAAAACAUUUUCUAGGGCUGGAAACAUAUUAAGCUAGACGAAAUCUGCAUGUAUAAGUGUUUUCACUGCAUUGUACAAGUUGUGGGCCAGCACGUGGUUGUGCCCCCCCAACCACCCAAGCAGAUGCUCGGUGUCAGGUAGGCUGCCCAGAUUAGAAGUCAAUGAAGAAGGGUCAUCUUGUGGACAUCAAGAGUCAAGGGAGGACCAAGCCAGCUGCCCCUUGUGAUUAAGAGUCUCUGAAAGAGAGUGUGUGAAAACUAGAGUAACCACACAUCCCUGUUUUCUUAGGAAAGUUCUGGUUUAUACCUAAGAUCCCCAUGUACCAUCCAGUUAGCAUGCCCUUUCAUUCUCAAAAAUAUCCCAGUUUAGAUAAGAAAUUACAUGGCCACCUUAAUUAAAAGUUAUUUACUCAUAAGGAAGUAAUUAUAUAUUUAACUAAAUUUCUCUGCUUAAAUAAUCUUAAAGUGAAUCCUUUGAUAAACUAAAAAGCAUUAAGCCUGACCCCACCCAUUAAAAGUGAGAGAGCAAGGGAUCGACGGAUUCUUGGCUUGCACAGGGAUUACUAGAUGUUUUCCUUUGUUUUGCUUUAGGGGCCUAGGGGCUCAGAAGGAGACCAGAUCAUCUAUAGACAGCUCAAAGAGACCCAAUUUCCUUUGCACAUUCAUGGCCAGUCAAUUGGCAACCCCCUACACAUGCAUGAAAAGUUAGCCAUCUCAGUAGUCCAUUGAGGGCUGAACAGGUGGCACAGGUUACAGUGGGGACUGGCAUUCAGAGGAGAAAGAAACCACUUGCAGCUCCAGUUGUUCUUGAGAGCAUCAUUCAAGUAGAGGUAGGAGAACAGAUACAUGGACGAAGCAGAUGUGGGGUAUACAUACAAUGGAAUAUUACUCAGCCAUAAAUAAGAAUGAAAUACUGCCAUUUGCAGCAACAUGGAUGGAUCUAGCGAUUAUCAUAUUAAGUGAAGUAAGUCAGACAAAGACCAUAUGACAUCACUUACAUGUGGAAUCUAAAAUAUGACACAAGUGAACUUAUUUACAAAACAGAAACAGAUUCAGAGACAUAGAGAACAGACUUACAGUUGCCAAAGAGGAUAGAAGGGGGGAAUAAAUUAGGACUUGGAGAUGAACAGAUACACACUACUUUAUAUAAAGUAGAUGAACAACAAGGUCCUACUGUGUGGCACAGGAAACGACACUCAAUACCUUGUAAUGAACUACAAUGGAAAGAAUAUGAAAAAGAAUAGAGAUAUAUGUAUAACUGAAUCACUUUGUUGUACACCAGAAACUAACACAACAUUGUAAAAUCAAUUAUACGUCAAUGUUUUUAAAAGAUAGAGAGAGAGAGAGAGAGGUGAGAGAAGCAUCAUUACAAGUGAAACCAAAGCCCCUGGGGAUGGCUCCAGGCAGAGGUGGGAGGAGUCAGAGGACCAGCAGCGACAGGUUUGCAGGAAGCUCAGGGUUUCUCCAUGCAUUAAAGGUAUAAACCUAGAAAGAUGGUGAGGCCUGGAUAAGGAAGGUGCCCAGGCCAGAGAAACUUUGCAAGAGUUUUGGAGAGACAUAAAUUCUCUGGGAUUGUCCAGAGGAGAGAAUUUGAAAUACAAAAUUCUAGAGUUAGGUACAAAGAUGCUGACGGAGAUGAGAGCAGUUGUCAAGAUGGCUGGCUUUGCUGCAGUUACCAGCUAAUUUUUUGAAUAGGAACAUUCAUUAGCAGGGUUGAAAUUUUAAAAUGCACAAAAUCAUAUACAAUUUAAAAACUUCCCUGCUCUUCUUCCCAACCACUCCCAUCUCCUUUCUGUUUCCUUGUUGAUCCUUCCAGAGAUAGUCUAUAUCAUAGAAGCCAUGAAUAUUCUCAACCAUUCCUUUCUUUUCAGUUUACAUCAAUUUCAUCCCAGUAAAUAAAUAUUUCUGACCUUGGUUUUGGCAUCGAAAAAUAAUCUCGAAGAUUGUUCUAGAGCAGAAUAUUAGAAGUUCAGAUUGCCUUGGCCUCACAGUAUUCCAUUAUAUGGACGUAUCACGGUUUGUUGAACCGUCUCCCACUAAUAGAAAUCCCAGUCUUCUCCUAUUAAUAGCAAUGCUGCAAUUAUUGCCCUUCUGCUUUCACCACUGCACACCUCUAAAGAACUCUGAAUGAUGUUUCUAGAAGGGGAACUGCUAAGGCAAAAGAUACAUGUGUUUGUAAUUUUGAAAUAUUUUGUGACGUUGCCCCUGGUGAAAGUUGCCCCCACUGGUGCUCCUCCCACCAGAGACUCUGUUUCCACCAGUGAACUCCGUGGGCUGUUAAACUUUUUGACUUGGGGCCAGUACUGAGAGGUGGACAGAGAAGUAAAGAAUAUUUUCUCCUCUAUUCCUGCUAUUUCCUGAGAAGUAAAGGGGACCCCCCCCCCAUACACACAGCCCUUUGUAUUCAUUCCCCCUACCGCUCAAGAAGGUAAAGUCACUUAUCAGAUUAAUACAUUUAGGAAGAAUUAACUUAUUCUCCCCUAAGCUUCUCCUCCCUGGCACAAGCUGCUACAGAAAACUGUUCUUUUUCUUUCCUCCAUGUAGCAGAGAGGCUGCCACAUUCUGGGGGUCAGUCUGUGCAACGCUCAUACUAAACCUCAUCUUACAAAUUAGGCCUUAUCAGUAGUGAGGAGGCUAUUUCAGCCCCCAUCUGCUAUUCCCUUAUUUUAUUUUUCAAUUUGUUCACAGCUCAGACAGGGAAGAAGGUCUCUGACUCAAGUAGAUGGUUGAGAUUUAAAGAGAUGAUAUCUUACUUAUUUCCUAGUUUAUGUCUCAACUGGGAAAAACUACCAAGAUUUCAGUUGUCGACCCAGGUAGAGUAUUUCUCCAAGUGAGGCCAUCUGCCUCUGAAUAUGAGAGAAUGGGAACAAUUUAAAAUGCAGAUUCUGGGAGUUCUUACUGUGGCUCAGUGGGUUAAGAACCUGACUGGUAACCAUGAGGAUGAGGGUUCAAUCCCUGGCCUUGCUCAGUGGGUUAAGGAUCCGGCGUUGCCAGGAGCUGUUAUAUAGGUCACAGAUGUGGCUUGGAUCUGGUGUUGCUGUGGCUGUGGCAUAGGCCUGCAGCUGCAGCUGCAGCUCUGAUUCAACCCCUAGCCUGGGAACUUCCAUAUGCAUGGGUGUGGCCCUAAAAGGACAAAAAAUUUAAAAAAAUAAAUAAAUAAAAUGCAGAUUCUGGGCCCAACCUAAAAUUUCUGAGCUGGAAUCACUGGGGGUGGGGGUGGGGGGGAAUGUGGGAGAAGGAAGUGCGGCCCAGGGGUUUUUGUUUUAUAAAAAGCUUCCCUAAAUGAUUUUUAAAGCUCAGUUAGGUUUAGAGAGCAUUACACUCCAGAGUCAUUCCUACUCCUGAGAAAAAUCCAAGUAGCCUAUAUGAUGAGGGUGACCAAGGCCCAGGAAAGCAGAGGCUAAAGAAAGUAAGACUCAGGAGAGAAAACUUGAAAUGUUAAGAACGGGCAACUGCUAGCAAGGAGUAACAGGGAAGAAAUAUUCAUGAGGCUAUUAAAGACAUAGAUAAAUAGCUUUCUCCUAUUAGGGAGGGUACUUCAAAGCUGACUGGCAUCAAAGAAGAGGGAUGAAUAGGACAAAUGAAAGCUGUGGGCUUCAAUUAUUUAUCGGCCUGGUGAAAACUGAAACUGGGGGGAUUCAGAGCCUUCAAUAUAUUCUAAAUAAACUGCUCUUGCCUGGCUGGGUUGAUUAGUACGUGAAAAGGCUGGAUGUUAAUUAGUUGCCUCUACAUUGUUCUACCUAUCCACAAACAACUGAGGAGUUAUUAUCUCCUACUUGUUAAUUGGCUAUUAACAGCAGGAAGUAAUUGCUUUGGAAAUUAUUCCCUGGAAAGUGCUUAAGGUCUAAUAUUGAGCAAUGUAUCUGUACACGUGUUUGCAUAUGAGCCAGGAAACAGUCCGAUAUGCUGAGGCUUCCGCACACCGCCUGUGCUACAAAGCAGGCUUCAAUUUUUCUCAUCGAAUUCUUCACGUCCGUUCUUCCCAAACCAGGUAUGAACCACUUUCAUGGCCAGAGAAGCUUCCAGAGGCUAACUAAGCCAAAACAUGCUGGAUUAAUUCAUUUUUUAAUUCAUUUGUUAUUAUUGUUGUUAUUAAUGUUAUUGUUGUUAUUAAUGUCUGUUUUUUACAUUUAUCCUAAAAGUGUGGCAAGUUUUGGUGUCUCACAGAAGAAUAGCCACAGUUAUCUGAAAAGCUAAAAUAUUCUUCCCUUUUCCAUCCGCAUGUCUAUGUGUGGCUAAAUGUUGUUUAUAAACUACUUCAAUCGAAACAACACAUUGUCCUACACUGACUGAAGAUGCAGAUAUGAGAAUAUAGCUGUGUGCGAUCAGGCCAGAUGUUGUCCAGUUUUACCAUUCAUUGGCACAUACACCCCAUGCCAUGUUUCCUUGGCCUGGCAGAUCCUCUCUCUGAUCAGACAUUAGCAGCAUCUCCAAAUACUCUGGAAAAGAAGCAUUAGGAAUGCAGGCAGCUGCAUUAAAGGAGACAAAUCCUAAGGACACACUGAUACAGUUUGCAAAACAGUAGUUGGUUGUACGAUUUACAGUUUGAUUGCAAUGGGAAAUUAACACUUUAAAUACUUUUUAUCACUUUUCAAACUGCCAGAAGUUUUCUUAUUAUGAUGAUAUUAUACCUUAACCUGUGCA
Molecule: long non-coding RNA, 4942 nt
Filed under: Sus scrofa (pig)
Lineage: Eukaryota; Metazoa; Chordata; Mammalia; Artiodactyla; Suidae
Description: lncRNA (ENSSSCG00060054225.1)
Source: RNAcentral